Molecule: ribosomal RNA, 484 nt
Filed under: uncultured bacterium
Lineage: Bacteria
Description: partial 16S ribosomal RNA
Rfam family: Bacterial small subunit ribosomal RNA
Source: RNAcentral
AUUGAACGCUGGCGGCAGGCCUAACACAUGCAAGUCGAGCGGAUGAAGGGGGCGUGCUCCUGGAUUCAGCGGCGGACGGAUGAGUCAUGCCUAGGAAGGUGCAUGGUAGUGUGAGAUAACGUUCGCAAACGGGCGCUAAUACCGCAUACUGCCUGCAGGAGACAUGGGGGGAUCUUCGGACCUCACGCCACCAGACAAGCGUAGGUCUGAUUAGCUAGGUGGUGGGGUAAAGGCCUCCCAAGGCGCCGCUCCGUAACUGGCCUGACAGCAUGAUCAGGCACCCUGGAAUUGAGACACGGUCCAGACUCCCACGGGAGGCACCAGUGGGGAAUAUUGGCCCAUGCGCGAAAGCUUGAUCCAGCCCUGCCGCGUGUGUGAAGAACGUCUUCGCAUUGUAAAGCACCUUAAGUUGGGAGGAAGGCCAGUAAGUUAAUCCCUUGCUCUUUUGACGUUACCAACAGAAUAAGCACCGGCUAACUUCGUG